This 3638-nucleotide long non-coding RNA is filed under the name Brassica napus (rape). RNAcentral describes it as "long non-coding RNA (BNAP_LNC026495)". Lineage: Eukaryota; Viridiplantae; Streptophyta; Magnoliopsida; Brassicales; Brassicaceae. The record is from RNAcentral.
AAGAACGGUGAAGCAGAGGCACGGCCUGUGAGUUACUCAUACUCUUUCUUCCAUAUAAUCUUUGCGCUGGCGAGCAUGUACGCGGCAAUGCUUCUCUCGGGAUGGACUGACUCGUCAGAGAGUGCGUCUCUGAUCGACGUGGGAUGGACCUCUGUUUGGGUCAAGAUUUGCACCGGUUGGGCCACGGCUGCACUCUACAUCUGGACACUCAUCGCACCCCUCAUCCUUCCGGAUCGUGAGUUCUACUAAAUUGCAAUAUUGGUCAGUAGAGGGCAUCACUUAAUAAAAUCUGGUGAAUGUAAGUAUAUGUUUAUGUAUUAGCAACUUAAAAAUGGGUAUGGUCUUGUAUGUAGCUCUUUAUCAUAUUCUAUAUACUUGUAAUUAAAAACCUGAAGUAAAAGACCUUGAAUGUUGGUUGUGUUCUUGGAACCUUUGUAUUAUGUAGUGAACUGUUAUGUUCUGUUUAUGAUUGUUCUUGAAUGUUGGUAGUGUCCUUGGAAGCUUUGUCUUACUGUUUAUGUUCUGUUUAUGAGAACCAACCCAAGCUCUUGAUUCAUCACUUAAGUUGCAAGAACUUUUCCUUGAGAGAAGCGGUUUUGGUUACAGAAUCUUUUGGGGGACAAAGAAAUAAAAAUACAAAAACAAACAUUUCAUUGAAUUGUUUUGUUUAGUUCGUGCUGAAUAUUUUCUCAUCACCAUUGUUUAUAUAUAUAUAUAUAUGGGGACACACAAAGGUAUUUUGUAUCCUUAGUCAUUACAUUAGAAUUAUAUUUGACCAAAUUAAUUGCGCAAUUAAGAGUCAAAACAAAAAUAUUUAUUUAUAUUAUUAUUUGAGAAGUGAAUUUGCUGAUUUGUCACUUUCUAUAUAAUUUUAGGCUUAGUCAAUAGUUUUUAUAAAUAUAUAUUUUAUAUAUAUUUUAAUAAUAAACAGUUUUGGAAACGUGGUCAUAUAUUACAAUAUUUCAGAUAUACAAUAUUGAUAUUAUUUUAUUUAUUAUUAUAUAAAAUUACAUUUGAUUUUAGGUUAGUCAAUAAUUUUAAGAAUUUUUUUUAGUAAAUAAAUUUUAAUAAUAUAUAUAUUAGAUGAUAACCAGUUUUAAGAAAAAUAUGAUAAUUGUCAUCUCUACACAACUAUUUGAUAUUAUCUUAUUAAUAUAAGAUAAAAAGAUUCUUCUCUUAUAUGUCAUGCAAAGAUCAUAUAUUUUUAUUUAUUUAAAAAGUUAAAUAUUUUUGAAUUUUUUUAAUAUAAUAUCAUCGAUGGCAUAUACAGUUUGUUAUUUUAAUUUAUUAGUGUUUAGUUUAAAAAUAAGUUUUCUAACAAUUGUAAAUUAUGCUAAUAUGUGUUACCACAAAAGCUCAUGUUUAUUUUCGAUCGAUACCAAAGAAAUACUCGAUUAUAUGUUGUAUGAGAAACAUACAAAGAAACAAACUUACAAAGAAAAAAAUAUGAAUAUUUUAAAACAAAAGAGAUAUCCUAAAAAAAUUUCUAAACAUUGGUGGAAUUAUUGAUUUAUUGUAAAUUUAAAUUUUAAAAAAUAAAAUAAUUCUUAUUUUUAUUGCUAUAUAUAUUUUGUUGUUAUUUGGAAAUAAUAUUUUCUAUUAUAAAGUGAAAAUUUAUAAUUAAAUGUUAAUUAAACAAAAACAUUUGUAUAAAGGUUUUUAAAAGAUUUUUAAUAUGUGAGUGUUUUAAAAGUUUUGACUCAGUGAUAAGCAUAUAUUUAUAUUUUGAUGAGAAACUUUGUCAUAUAAAAAAAAUUGAUGUUUGAUUUAAAAUUUUCAAGAACAUUUGAAUUAAUCAAAUAUAAACUAAUAAAUAUUCGUAUGAUGAUUAUGCCCGCAUGUACAGACAAAACCCCUAGUUUAUUAGUACAAUAAUAAUCAAAUUAAGAUAGAUAAACAUGUUUAGGUAAUAAAUUUAUUUUCUCUACUUUUAUGCAUCCUUUGAUAUUCUAGUAAUAAUUACAUAUAGAUUCUGAUCUGGGAUUUUAAAGCAGAAGUUUCUGUAAUAAUUACAAUGCAUUUACUUAAAAUUAAAGAAUUAACUAUAAACAAACUUUUUGGAUGAAAUGGAUUUGAAAAUAUUUUUAAAAAACUCAAACCAACAGAAAUGAGGCUAAUAAAUUUGCAAAACAAUAACAAUCAAUUUUGGAAACGUACUAACCAAUAAUAAUGAAUUGUACUAAGAAUCUAGAACCAAUAACUAUAAAAUACAAAAAAUUUUAAAAGUUCAUAAUACCAAUUUCGUUAAUUUCCGGGUUUUGGGGUUGAUCUCGGUCUUAUUAAACCGAUUCAAUCCUAAUAUCCCGGUUCGUCAAACCGUGCACAUGAAGUUUAUGGGAAAAUGGAUUAAAUUGAUCUUUUCAUUUGUUAGUGUCUGAUUAUGUAAUUUCCAGAAACUUUUCAUCUCUUCUUCCUUGCACACAAGUUAUAUAUUAUGCUAGUUGUGUGAUUAUAUAUUAUUGUGUAUAGCUUAAAAUAACACAAAGAAGUUGAUGUAAAUGUUUUUUUUAUCUAUUUUGUUAAGUUUUCGAAACUAUCACUUGAUGAGCUUUUGUUUCUAUAUAUAUAGAUGAGGGCAUAUAUGCGGUUAAUUUCAGUGCUUAUACAUUCUUUUAGGAAUCUUAUCAAAGUUUGGUGCUGGAGCAUUUCUGUUGGUUCAAGUGGUCUUGUUGUUAGACGCUACACAUAACUGGAAUGAUUCUUGGGUCGAGAAGGAUGAAAGGAAGUGGUAUCUUUAUUUACCAUUAUCCUUUUAUUUAGCCUUUUUUGAAGUUUGAUCGAUGAUAAAUUUCUGGCAUAAUGGUUUUCUUUAUGUAGGUAUGUCGCUCUGCUUGUCAUAUCUAUCGUGUGUUACCUUGCCACAUACGCCUUCUCAGGAGUCCUGUUUAUGUGGUUCAACCCGUCUGGUCAUGACUGUGGACUAAAUGUUUUCUUCAUCGUCAUGACGAUGAUCCUUGCCUUUGUUUUCGCCAUCGUUGCCUUACAUCCUGCGGUGAAUGGCAGCCUUUUACCGGCAUCGGUUAUAUCUGUUUACUGUGCUUAUGUCUGUUACACGGGUCUCUCUAGCGAACCACACGAUUACGUGUGCAAUGGACUUAACAGAUCCAAGGCAGUGACCGCUAGUACUCUAACGCUCGGAAUGCUCACUACAGUUCUCUCUGUUCUCUAUUCCGCACUCAGAGCUGGCUCUUCCACCACAUUCCUCUCACCACCAUCAUCUCCCAGAGCAGGUACUUCCUCAAACUCCUCAAUACGCUUAGGCAUUAGUUUCUUCUGUUUUGCUUGAAAUGUUGUGUCCAGGUGGGAAGGAGGCAUUGUUAGAAGACCCUGAGGAUGGGAAGAAGAACGGUGAAGCAGAGGCACGGCCUGUGAGUUACUCAUACUCUUUCUUCCAUAUAAUCUUUGCGCUGGCGAGCAUGUACGCGGCAAUGCUUCUCUCGGGAUGGACUGACUCGUCAGAGAGUGCGUCUCUGAUCGACGUGGGAUGGACCUCUGUUUGGGUCAAGAUUUGCACCGGUUGGGCCACGGCUGCACUCUACAUCUGGACACUCAUCGCACCCCUCAUCCUUCCGGAUCGUGAGUUCUACUAAAUUGCAAUAUUGGUCAGUAGAGGGCAUCACUUAAUAAAAUCUGGUGAA